RNAcentral lists this small RNA (29 nucleotides) under Bombyx mori (domestic silkworm). RNAcentral describes it as "ovarian small RNA-13092". Lineage: Eukaryota; Metazoa; Arthropoda; Insecta; Lepidoptera; Bombycidae. The record is from RNAcentral.
CAGAAGUCGAGCAUCCUCUUCCAGGCCGG